AAAGCUGUGGAAAUUUGCAAGUCCUCGGAAGUAAGCAUCAAAAAGAUAACCAAGGACAUUUUUUUUCACAGCAAAAGCCAUAUCCACGGAAUGUGGAAUUCUAUAGAGAGGUCACCGAGUAGAGAAUGGAGUAUUGGUAGAAGGUUUUGAAUUUCAGAACUCCACACAUGAUGGAAAGGGUUGAUAAGAUUGUGUGAUGGCAAGGUUAUCGACCUUUGACAAACUUCUAGGCUUGAGGCAGAAAGAUCAUGUUGUUGCAGUAACAGGAGA
RNAcentral lists this unclassified non-coding RNA (270 nucleotides) under Hevea brasiliensis (rubber tree). The record is from RNAcentral. Lineage: Eukaryota; Viridiplantae; Streptophyta; Magnoliopsida; Malpighiales; Euphorbiaceae.